RNAcentral lists this ribosomal RNA (798 nucleotides) under Bravohollisia parvianchoratus. RNAcentral's name for it is "eukaryotic LSU rRNA". It matches the Rfam family "Eukaryotic large subunit ribosomal RNA", at positions 71 to 637 of the family's 3401-position model. Lineage: Eukaryota; Metazoa; Platyhelminthes; Monogenea; Dactylogyridea; Ancyrocephalidae. The record is from RNAcentral.
AGGAUUCUCCCAGUAACGGCGAGUGAACGGAGAUUAGCCCAUCACCGAAGUCUAUUCGUGUUUGCGAACAGGACAAUGUGGUGUUCGGGCAUGCGCCCUGGCAUCGUUGACCAGCCCUAAGUCCAACUCCGAUUGCGGCUUUGGAUAUUGUCCAUAGCGGGUGAAAGACCCGUUCGGGCUGGUUUUGUUGUAUAUAUAAAUGAUGCCCAGAUGCGUGUGCUUUCGAGUCGGAUUGCUUGAGAAUGCAGUCCAAAGAGGGUGGUAAACUCCAUCCAAGGCUAAAUACUGGCACGAGUCCGAUAGUAGACAAGUACCGUGAGGGAAAGUUGAAAAGUACUCUGAAGAGAGAGUAAAUAGUACGUGAAACCGCUUGCAUGGAAUCGGAUGGAGUCAAGCUUCAUGCCUUGAAGAUUGUUGUCCAAUCGUUAUUGUGUCAGGACGUGUAGUAACGCAACUUGGAAUAAGUUGGAUGCACCUGUUGCAUUUCAAGUCUAUCCGGGUAGCUGGUUUGUCUUUACUACUAUCUCCUAGAUUGGAUAGCGUUUUUUUCUUGGCAUAAAUCAAGGCUUCUAGUGGUAUAUGUCACAUGAUAAUCUAACAGCAUUCGAGUCAUUCUACUUUGGCUUGAUGUUGAAUGGAAGGUCGUUCUAUUAGCGUUUUCCAAUGCUAAUGGAGUUUAUAAUGGUUUUGACCAUCUGAUUAUCAUGUUUCUCUGUAUAUUAUCACUAGAUGUAUAUAUGUAUAUAAUGGGUAAUCUAUAUGAUUGCCUGUUUAUCAAGGCCUUGAUUCUGAGGUAGA